AUACCAAACAACGAGUUAUCGAAGUUGUUAGUUUUACGUCUUGCUCUUGUUUCUCGAAUCCUGAA
RNAcentral lists this small RNA (65 nucleotides) under Arabidopsis thaliana (thale cress). Its description in RNAcentral is "ATSL112560". Lineage: Eukaryota; Viridiplantae; Streptophyta; Magnoliopsida; Brassicales; Brassicaceae. The record is from RNAcentral.